Molecule: long non-coding RNA, 745 nt
Organism: Peromyscus eremicus (cactus mouse)
Lineage: Eukaryota; Metazoa; Chordata; Mammalia; Rodentia; Cricetidae
Exons: 3
Source: RefSeq, a predicted model, not a curated record
CAACCGUCACGCCUACAAACCGGAACCAAGUGAGGAGAUAUUGGUGUAAUUAUUAUGGCCACUCCACGUAGCUAAAAGGAGAUUUAUUUAGUGGCGUAACUUACAAGUUAAGGGAUCGGUAGGUCGCGGGGUCUGGGGAAGGUGUAUCGCAGUCCAGCGGUGUUCUCUGGAGCUCUGCUUGGCCCACCUUCUCCGUCCAAGGUCCCGGAACCAAGUGAGAGCACCGCCCAUCCAGAUCUCAGGUCUCCAGGCGCCUCCCUUGGCCCCGCCUUGUAGGCGUGACGGUUGCGGAAGUCUCCAUGGGGGUUGAAACUUCAGAUCAAAGCUGGAAUGGCUACCCACUACAGGUGACUCCUGAGAAAGGGUCAUUCAUCCCCCAAAGGUGUUGAGAACCACUGUCCCAGCCUAGAGCCUUCAUCUCUAUUGACGAAUUUCACAGUACUGGAAGAUAUGUCUAUGCUAUCAAAGGAGAAAGAGUCUGCAUGUUAAAGAUUUUCUGUCAGAAAACCAGAAUGAAGACAAAAAUCAGAGCUUGGCUUUGUCUCUUUGAACACUGUCCAUGCCCUCUUUACAGUAUUAAGAACAGAUGAGCCAGGCACUGCACUUGAAUGGUGACACUAUGCUUUGUGGGUACCGCUGUUUUUCCUUGAGAUAGAGUUCUGAGAGGAAUGCUUGAUGAACAUAUUGAUUUCUCCUCAGGGUGAAGAACUCUCUUUUAAAUAAACAAGCUCGGAAUUCAAAAAUA